Molecule: ribosomal RNA, 1334 nt
Filed under: Ptilodexia conjuncta
Lineage: Eukaryota; Metazoa; Arthropoda; Insecta; Diptera; Tachinidae
Description: eukaryotic LSU rRNA
Rfam family: Eukaryotic large subunit ribosomal RNA
Source: RNAcentral
CGCACUAGUCACUUUGUCUUUAUGGCAAAUGUGAGAUGCAGUGUAUGGAAUGUCAAAUUUCUAGUAUGAGAAAUUAACGAUUUAAGUCCUUCUUAAAUGAGGCCAUUUACCCAUAGAGGGUGCCAGGCCCGUAUAACGUUAAUGAUUACUAGAUGACAUUUCCAAAGAGUCGUGUUGCUUGAUAGUGCAGCACUAAGUGGGUGGUAAACUCCAUCUAAAACUAAAUAUAACCAUGAGACCGAUAGUAAACAAGUACCGUGAGGGAAAGUUGAAAAGAACUCUGAAUAGAGAGUUAAAUAGUACGUGAAACUGCUUAGAGGUUAAGCCCGAUGAACCUGAAUAUCUAUUAUAGAAAAUUCAUCAUUAUGAUUUUAAUGUUAUACAAACCACAUUAUAAUAAUGGUGUGCAUUUUUUCUAUAAAUGACAUUGUAAUCUAUUAAUAUCGCAAAUUUAUCAUAAGAUCAUAUGCGCAAGUUUAUUCAAAUUAUUUUGCUUGCAAUUUAACAUAGAAUAAAUGCAUUCGAUUUGAUAAAGUAUUGAUAGAUUUUAUUUAUAUAUAGUGCUUAAAUUUUGUAAAAAAAAUUUUAUAAUAGCGUAUUAAUUAAUUAAUUUUAUAUGUUUAUUAUAUGCACUUAUAUGAUUAACAAUGCGAAAGAUUCAGGAUACCUUCGGGACCCGUCUUGAAACACGGACCAAGGAGUCUAACAUAUUUGCAAGUUAUUGGGAAUAAAAACCUAAUAGCAAAAUUAACAUAACUUAAAUUUAUAAAGGGAUUAGUUUUUAGUACAUUUAUGUAUUAUUAAUUCAAUCCCGGGGCGUUCUAUAUGGUUAUGUAUAAUAAUAUUUAUAUUAUUUAUACCUCUAACUGGAGCGUACCUUGAGCAUAUAUGCUGUGACCCGAAAGAUGGUGAACUAUACUUGAUCAGGUUGAAGUCAGGGGAAACCCUGAUGGAAGACCGAAACAGUUCUGACGUGCAAAUCGAUUGUCAGAAUUGAGUAUAGGGGCGAAAGACCAAUCGAACCAUCUAGUAGCUGGUUCCCUCCGAAGUUUCCCUCAGGAUAGCUGGUGCAUUUAAAAUUUAUGUAAAAUAAUCUUAUCUGGUAAAGCGAAUGAUUAGAGGCCUUAGGGUCGAAACGACCUUAACCUAUUCUCAAACUUUAAAUGGGUAAGAACCUCACCUUUCUUGGUAUGAAGGUUGUGGUUGUGAUAUAAUGUGCCCAGUGGGCCACUUUUGGUAAGCAGAACUGGCGCUGUGGGAUGAACCAAACGUAAUGUUACGGUGCCCAAAUUAACAACUCAUACAGAUACCAUGAAAGGCGUUGGUUGCUUAAA